Molecule: unclassified non-coding RNA, 309 nt
Filed under: plant metagenome
Description: partial contains 5.8S ribosomal RNA, internal transcribed spacer 2, and large subunit ribosomal RNA
Rfam family: 5.8S ribosomal RNA (bases 1-105)
Source: RNAcentral
GAAAUGCGAUAAGUAGUGUGAAUUGCAGAAUUCAGUGAAUCAUCGAAUCUUUGAACGCACAUUGCGCCCCUUGGUAUUCCAUGGGGCAUGCCUGUUCGAGCGUCAUUUGUACCCUCAAGCUCUGCUUGGUGUUGGGUGUUUGUCCCGUCUCCGCGCGUGGACUCGCCCCAAAGUGAUUGGCAGCCGGCGUACUGGUCCCGGAGCGCAGCACAUGUCGCGCAAACGAGUGCCUUGGUACGGCGGCGUCCAUAAGCCCCUCUCUCACGCUCUUGACCUCGGAUCAGGUAGGGAUACCCUCUGAACUUAAGC